GUGCGCGCGGGCAGCUUCGGCUGUCAGCGGCGGACGGGUGAGUAACGCGUGGGAAUCUGUCUCCGGGUGGGGGAUAACCAUGGGAAACUAUGGCUAAUACCGCAUGACGCCCGAGGGCCAAAGCAGCAAUGCGCCUGGAGAGGAGCCCGCGUACGAUUAGCUAGUUGGCGGGGUAAAGGCCCACCAAGGCUCCGAUCGUUAGCUGGUCUGAGAGGAUGAUCAGCCACACUGGGACUGAGACACGGCCCAGACUCCUACGGGAGGCAGCAGUGGGGAAUAUUGGACAAUGGGCGCAAGCCUGAUCCAGCAAUGCCGCGUGAGUGAAGAAGGUCUUCGGAUUGUAAAGCUCUUUCGGCGGGGACGAUGAUGACGGUACCCGCAGAAGAAGCCCCGGCUAACUUCGUGCCAGCAGCCGCGGUAAUACGAAGGGGGCUAGCGUUGCUCGGAAUGACUGGGCGUAAAGGGCGCGUAGGCGGUGUAUACAGUCGGACGUGAAAUUCCCGGGCUCAACCUGGGGGCUGCGUUCGAGACGUAUGCGCUGGAGUCCGGAAGAGGGUGGCGGAAUUCCCAGUGUAGAGGUGAAAUUCGUAGAUAUUGGGAAGAACACCGGUGGCGAAGGCGGCCACCUGG
This 630-nucleotide ribosomal RNA is filed under the name uncultured Rhodopila sp. RNAcentral describes it as "bacterial SSU rRNA". It matches the Rfam family "Bacterial small subunit ribosomal RNA", at positions 61 to 732 of the family's 1533-position model. Lineage: Bacteria; Pseudomonadati; Pseudomonadota; Alphaproteobacteria; Acetobacterales; Acetobacteraceae. The record is from RNAcentral.